Molecule: transfer RNA, 77 nt
Filed under: candidate division NC10 bacterium RIFCSPLOWO2_02_FULL_66_22
Lineage: Bacteria; Methylomirabilota (SeqCode)
Also listed under: 3 other names
Description: tRNA-Val
Rfam family: tRNA
About the family: Transfer RNA (tRNA) molecules are approximately 80 nucleotides in length.
Source: RNAcentral
GGGCGCUUAGCUCAGCCGGUUAGAGCGCCGUCUUCACACGGCGGAGGUCGCUGGUUCGAUCCCAGCAGCGCCCACCA